UGGCGGACGGGUGAGUAACGCGUGGAUAACCUGCCGUAGUACCGGGGGAUAACACUUAGAAAUAGGUGCUAAUACCGCAUAAGCGCACGGCUCCGCAGUGGGGCAGUGUAGAAAACUCCGGUGGUAUACGAUGGAUCCGCGUCUGAUUAGCUAGUUGGCGGGGUAACGGCCCACCAAGGCAGCGAUCAGUAGCCGGCCUGAGAGGGUGGACGGCCACAUUGGGACUGAGACACGGCCCAAACUCCUACGGGAGGCAGCAG
Molecule: ribosomal RNA, 260 nt
Filed under: uncultured bacterium
Lineage: Bacteria
Description: partial 16S ribosomal RNA
Rfam family: Bacterial small subunit ribosomal RNA
Source: RNAcentral